Molecule: ribosomal RNA, 112 nt
Filed under: Caerostris darwini
Lineage: Eukaryota; Metazoa; Arthropoda; Arachnida; Araneae; Araneidae
Source: RNAcentral
CUGCGGCCAUACCAUGCUGAAUAUACCGGUUCUCGUUGGAUCACCGAAGUCAAGCAUCAUUGGGCGCGGUCAGUACUUGGGUGGGUGUCCACCUGGGAACACCGCUUGCCGU